Non-coding RNA from Xyrichtys novacula (pearly razorfish), 605 nucleotides. The record is from the annotation of a GenBank genome assembly. Lineage: Eukaryota; Metazoa; Chordata; Actinopteri; Labriformes; Labridae.
GGAUCAUCAAGAACCCUGUCAAAAAUGUCGAAGACCAUGAGAGAGGUCUGCAAAAGAGCCAUGAAAAAGCUGCAGAGAAGGAAAGGACAGCGAAUAGGGGAGAGGAGAUACUAUAGGAGGAGCUAUAGAUGAGAGUCACUUCAGGCAUAAAAGAAAGGUAAUAACUUUAGUAUAAUCCAAAUUAAGUUGACAAUCAGAACCAUAUUAUCACUCACUGUAGAAAAAUAAAAAUGGACUAUGUUAAAUAAUGAUUAUGAAAGUGAAUUGUCUGGUGACUUCUGCUCAGGUCAUGCUUUUUUUUAACUCGAUAUCAAUGUCUUGUUGUUUUCAAAUCUUCAGUAUGGAAGGGGCAGAAUGGCUGGGGCCUGGAAAAGAAAAAAGUGGGUCUUCGGAAUGCUGGGAGUGCGGCGCAGAGGACAAAGCAAAGAGAAACCUGUGCUCCGCUUGGUGGAGAGGCGGAGCAGAGCCACGCUAGUGCCGUUAAUUAAUCGGUACAUCAGGAGAGGGUCAACCAUCAUUAGUGAUGAGUGGCGAGCUUACAAUGCUCUGCCUCAACUAGGCUACAGGCACUAUACAGUAAACCACAGUGUUGCCUAUGUGAAUCC